Non-coding RNA from Mycobacterium arosiense, 118 nucleotides. NCBI's taxonomy places the organism in Bacteria, Bacillati, Actinomycetota, Actinomycetes, Mycobacteriales, Mycobacteriaceae. The record is from Rfam.
UGCGUUUCUUGCCGCGGAGUUCGACCGCCCCGCGACGAAAUGAUCGCCUAUAUCGAUGCUCAUCGCGAUCAGUUCGGGGUCGAGCUCAUUUGCCGCGUGUUGCGGGCAGCUAUCCCCG